ACGGAAGGCAGCAGUGAGGAAUCUUGGUCAAUGGGCGAGAGCCUGAACCAGCCAAGUAGCGUGGAGGAAGCAGGUCCUAUGGGUUGUAAACUCCUUUUGUGCGGGGGUAAAGUUCGCCACGUGUGGCGUUUUGCAAGUACCGUACGAAUAAGCAUCGGCUAACUCCGUGCCAGCAGCCGCGGUAAUACGGAGGAUGCGAGCGUUAUCCGGAUUUAUUGGGUUUAAAGGGAGCGUAGGCUGGAUGUUAAGCCAGCGGUCAAAAGGAGCGGCUCAACCGUUCUUCGCCGUUGAUACUGGUAUCCUUGAGUGCGCUAGAGGUGGAUGGAAGUUAGGGUGUAGCGGUGAAAUGCUUAGAAAUCCUAAAGAACGCCGAUUGCAAAGGCAGUCCACUGGGGCGCGACUGACGCUGAAGCUCGAAAGUGCGGGUAUCAAACAGGAUUAGAUACCCUGGUA
RNAcentral lists this ribosomal RNA (453 nucleotides) under uncultured Paraprevotella sp. RNAcentral describes it as "partial 16S ribosomal RNA". It matches the Rfam family "Bacterial small subunit ribosomal RNA", at positions 341 to 792 of the family's 1533-position model. The record is from RNAcentral. Lineage: Bacteria; Pseudomonadati; Bacteroidota; Bacteroidia; Bacteroidales; Prevotellaceae.